Molecule: long non-coding RNA, 358 nt
Filed under: Mytilus galloprovincialis (Mediterranean mussel)
Lineage: Eukaryota; Metazoa; Mollusca; Bivalvia; Mytilida; Mytilidae
Source: RNAcentral
AAAUCGUCUAUCUUAAAUUUUCAAAGGGAAAUAACUCCCAUAAGAUGUCUUCCGAUCACUCAAGUCAAAUAAACCAAAUCAUUCUCAAGAGUAGACGAACAAUUUGGUGAAAACAGUUUGUUAAAAUCUUUUACGGUUUUAGACAUAUAGCGAUAACAAGAAAAAGGGGACGCAGGGAGAUAACUCCUAUAAGAAUAAGUGUUUGGUCACACAGGGUGAGUUUUGAAACCCCCAUUACUGUUCAACAUCAUUGGCCAAAAAAUCCAUUCGAUAUGUUGUAAGACAAAAAAGCAUCUCAGACGGCAGAAGAAAAACAAAAUAAUCAGAAGAAAAACAAAAGGUCUUUCCACGAAAACUA